RNAcentral lists this ribosomal RNA (305 nucleotides) under uncultured bacterium. RNAcentral describes it as "bacterial SSU rRNA". It matches the Rfam family "Bacterial small subunit ribosomal RNA", at positions 337 to 658 of the family's 1533-position model. The record is from RNAcentral.
UCCUACGGGAGGCAGCAGUCGGGAAUAUUGCGCAAUGGAGGAAACUCUGACGCAGUGACGCCGCGUGCAGGAAGAAGGUUUUCGGAUUGUAAACUGCUUUAGACAGGGAGGAAAAAAGACAGUACCUGUAGAAUAAGCUCCGGCUAACUACGUGCCAGCAGCCGCGGUAAUACGGAGGGUGCGAGCGUUAAUCGGAAUUACUGGGCGUAAAGCGCUCGUAGGCGGUAUGUCAAGUCAAGGGUGAAAUCCCCGCGCUCAACGUGGGAACUGCCUUUGAAACUGGCAAACUGGAGUGUGUGAGAGGA